GCUCAUAACUUUUGCUCAAGUGAAGCUGAGUUUCCUCACGGUAAAUUACAGAAUCGAAGAGAAGUCGAAGUAAUCUAGUUUCGUCCUAAUAACAGACGUGUUAUUACUCACUAUGCCUGGUUCAACUCAGCUGUUUUCUCUUGUUGCUGGUCUUUUGGUUGGAAAUAUCUUUGGUGUGUAUCUAGCUCAAACGUAUGAGCUGCCAGAUCUUCAUAAUGCCAUGGAAUAUCUAUUUUCCAAAGCACAGGAAUAUGAGAAACCGCCUAAAAAGUCAGAUGAUGACAAAGACAAGUGACUGUGGAGAAGCUUUUGCCUUUAAGAUCAAAGUCAGCAGCGAGACAGGAACCAGAAGAAGCAUUCUUGUUGGUCAGAGUGAAAUGGACUAAAAAUUUAAGCAUGUCCCUCAACUGAGAGAAUUAUUCCCUAGAUUUGACCAACAUCAAGACAGAAAAGCAUUGUUUUUUUCUCUAGCCCCGAGAUAUGACAAAUAUGUUACUAAUUUCGUUUUCUCGCUCCGCACUGUUCGUUACGAAACCUCUUUUUUUUCCACUCGGAUUUACGGCCCGCACGCUUCACUCUUGGGUGAUGAAUCUGAGGAGAAAAACUUGGUCCAUAACUUACGGUGCUGACUUGGACUAGGUUAGUAAGAGGUAUACACAAGGUGGACCUCAAUGGCCCCGUAUUCUUUAGUUGCUUUCUGUAAUGAUUAGAUUUAGCGCCUGGGACACCUAUUUACUUAUGGUACCUCAAGGGAAGACGCUUAUUGCAGACAGGGCGCCUAGUUCUUUUUUGAGAAACAGCAGAAUAAGCAAAACAAAGCUUUACUGUUAAUUUGAAAAUGAUCAAGAAUACUGGAAAACGGACUUAACUUUUAGCAAUCUGAUCGGAGAAGAAAGUUUAUCGUACAAUGUAACACAGAGCCCAAUUUCAAUUGUAUUAGUUUCUAUUGCUAAAAAUAAGAAAUAUACUCCAUGCAAUCAUCUUCCGAUAUCCCACCAGGGCGAGGUUGUUCAGCAUUUUGAUUUUAACCAACCAAGGGUUCUGUAUAGUUUUGUUUACGGUCACCUCGGUACCAAGUUAUCUCGCCACCAAGAAGUCGACACGCCACCGACCAUCUCGCCACCAAGAAGUUGAGUUGCCACCAGCCAAACUAUGAACUAAAUUGAAUGUAUCAACAAAGUUGAAAUGGUAAAUUGGCCACCGUUACGAUUAUAAAAGCUGACGUUUCGC
Stylophora pistillata is the source of this 1230-nucleotide long non-coding RNA. NCBI's taxonomy places the organism in Eukaryota, Metazoa, Cnidaria, Anthozoa, Scleractinia, Pocilloporidae. The record is from RefSeq and is a predicted model, not a curated record.